UCGUCAACCUGCUGAGGACAGAUAUAAUGGAUGUGCGAGUCGAUCGCUCCUGCAGUGACAAUCAACUUCUCCCCAGCAACGACUUCCGUAGCUGACCCAACAAUCAGGUCGGGAUGAACGUCGGCCAUGACAUCUGGGUUUCCGGCUUUACCAAUACCUUUGAUCAGGCCGUUCUUCACGCCGAUGUCCGCCUGAACAUUGUUUCAGCAACAGGCCCGGAAACGAGAUUGGAAUCUUCACUUUGUAUAUGCCCGACCAGUCGAUGAUCAAGGCGUUGGUGAUGACGAGGUCAAGCACUUCCGAGGCUGAACGGUUGGUCGCCUGUCCCAUGCCUUCGCGG
Molecule: small RNA, 340 nt
Filed under: Hypsizygus marmoreus
Lineage: Eukaryota; Fungi; Basidiomycota; Agaricomycetes; Agaricales; Lyophyllaceae
Description: 5' ureB small RNA
Rfam family: 5' ureB small RNA
Source: Rfam by way of RNAcentral